Molecule: long non-coding RNA, 966 nt
Filed under: Citrus sinensis (sweet orange)
Lineage: Eukaryota; Viridiplantae; Streptophyta; Magnoliopsida; Sapindales; Rutaceae
Description: long non-coding RNA (CSIN_LNC004518)
Source: RNAcentral
GUAAUAUGUAGGUAGGAACCAACAAUGAAAGUGAUAUCUUUUUCAUCCUCUUGAAUGUUCUUAUAAUAUGUGUACAUAUUUAUAUUAUGAAACAGAAUGAACAAUUGCAAACAAAAUGCGCACGUUAGUAAGACAUAUGUUCAUACUAAUUAAUAUAACAUUAUAGUUGUCAUUAGUAUUGAACAAUCCUAAAUAUUAAACAUAAUAUGCAUCAACUAUUACAUCGCCAUCAAUCCAUUCUCUUGGCAGAAGGCUAUGCAUGCUGCUCCAAGUUGUAUUGCUGUCUCUUAUAUCCACCAUGACUUUCCUUUUCCCGUGAACGUAAGUUUGAGUAACCCAUUCUUUCAUCUCUCUUUUUGUACCUUACCUUUUGUUCAAGUGGAAGUUCUUUGUAGGUUUUGCAAAAGAAAACUAUAGAAAAUUUUCUGAUCUAGAAUACUCUUUUUAAUUACUAAAAAUCUAAUACAAGUAGAGUACUUAUAUUAUUUAGUUUCAUAAGCAGAGUUUUUUAUUAACUAAGGUCAAACUAAAAGCAUACAUGACCGUAUAUACAUAACAUAAUGUUCUGAGAUGGAAAUGCAUAAUAGAAUUGAGCUGAGCUGGCACUUUUGUAACUGUUGUUGCUAAGCUGGAUUUUCAUGCUCAACUGUUGUUGACCUUCCUCAUUUGACUGCAUAAUAAGCCCUCUUAACAUCCUUUCUCAAACUUAAUGGGUAAGGUUGCACAUUAAGUUUGGCUCCAAAGAAAUUCAACUAAGUAAAAGCAAGUGGCUUAGUUAAGACUCGAGCUGGCAAAACGGGUUACCGGUCGUGUUUGUAUCAUGUUAGCUUCGUGUCAUGUCAAAUUUAGGUUGAUCCAAACAGAACCCAUUUAAUAAUCAUGUCAAAAUAUUGAAACCCAAACCUGACACAUAAAAUAGGCGGGUUACCCAAUAACCCGUUUAAUAUCUAUAUAUUUAACAAAUGU